This 7741-nucleotide long non-coding RNA is filed under the name Theobroma cacao (cacao). RNAcentral describes it as "long non-coding RNA (TCAC_LNC004143)". The record is from RNAcentral. Lineage: Eukaryota; Viridiplantae; Streptophyta; Magnoliopsida; Malvales; Malvaceae.
GUCACUAAAGCUGUAUAGGGAGAAAAGAACAUUUAAAACAAUUUGAUUAGUGAUUAAAAAAAUUAAAUUGUUAAGCCAAAUGCAAGAAUUUUGAAGUAAUUAAUAAACACAUGUACAUACUUACUUGCCCUUAAAGAAGGCAUAAGGUUUGUAAAAUUCUGCCAACCGCAUUGCAAACUUGAUUUUGCGAUUAAGGUCCAUGUAAACUUGCCUAAAAUACUGGCAACUAAGGAUGUUCACCAAAUACAAUACCUUUACAAAUUAGAAACAUAAAAAAUAAAUUAUAAUAAGAUAUGGGAAUUUAUUAAUAAAUUAUUCUAAAAAAUUUAAAUAAAUAUUUAUUUUUCUAUUACAUAUAAUCAAGUCGUUAUACUAUUAAUUUGAGUCAAAUAGAUCCUUAUAGUUAGAGAGUAACUAACUGCCAUUAAUCAAAGCGUCACACGUUGUUUUAAGCCACAUGAUGCUGACAUGAAAAAUAACAUAUAAUCAUGCCAUCAUAGUAUAUCAAUAUGUUACGUCAGUAUUUGUUAUGAUGCAUGUCUGUGAUGUCAACAUAAUGUAACAUAAAAUUACAUCUAACGUUUAACUAAUGAUAGUUAGUUAACCAUUAGUUCUAAAAUCUUAUUUGGUCCAAAAUAAAAAUUUAAGUGUUUGAUUGAAUACAAAGUAUAAUAAGUUAUUUGAAUUUAUCUAAAUAGUUCAAAGACUCUUUAGAUAAUAUGCCAAAAUAAAAAUUAAGACUGUGACAAACCUUUAAUAGGAACACAUAUUUAAUCCACAUGUAUAGAAAAAUUCCAUUGACCGUGCUCAAGAGUGUUACUUUACGAACUUUAACUCUUUGUCUGUUUCUAUUAAUCCAUGGAUUUCAGUGAAAUAACAAUAUAAAAAUUUUUAGUGAAAAAAUUUUUAGUGAACUUCAACACGUUAUUUUAGUAUGUCAUGUCAUUAACUGUUAUGACAUGUCAGCAUAUUGUGUCAAUACUAUGUGAUAUAAAAAAACAUGUAAUGUUUUAAAUAAUGACAGUUAAUUAACCAUUAGUUCUAUGGACUUAUUUGACCCGAAACAAAAGCAUAACAGUUUGAAUGAAUGCAAUUAGAAAAAAAAUAAUUGAUUUGAAUUUUUUAAAUAGUUCAGAGUCCUUUUAAAUAUUAUGUCAAAAUAAAAAUUAGGAAUGUAACAAACCUUCAAUGGAAACACAUAUUUAGUCCACAUGUAGAGAAAAUAUCCAUUGAUUGUGCUCAACACUGUGAGUUUACGAACUUUAACUCGUUGUCCGUUUCUAUUAGACCAUGGGUUUUCAGUGAAAUAACAGUGUAUAAAUUUGCAAAAAUCCCCGAGUUUUAAAGGAUUUUUCAAUGAGGAGCUAACAUGGUAAAUGGUCUGACAAGAUUGAUUACUUGUGUGAACUGACAUGGCCACGACCAUUGCAUUUACCACCAUGUCUGCAGGUAUCUGCAUAAAUUUUGAAAUUCACGUUUUUCACUUGCAAUUAGACCCAGCUAUAGGAAGAAAAUGGUAUAUGUUAUCCAGAGAUUAAAAAUUCUCACCACAUCGAGGGCAGAGUUAGGAUAGCCAGGAAAACAUGUUAAUUUCCCCUUGCCAUAACUCACAAUGACGCUAUCUAUAGUUCUGUAGUAACACAAAUAUUAAUGAGUCAUUAUUCCAAAUAUACAAUGUUAAUGAAAGCAAUAAAUUGCAUUAAUGAAAUAUAAUAAUAAUCCUAAAUCAAAUACCAUAAAAAUUUGAAGUUACAAUUUGGUCAUGAUAAUUACCUCACACCUUCAAUCCAGCCAGGGAAGGGUUCUUUAUAAGUGCUUGCAAUCAUGGUAGGGCGGAUAAUGACAAAAGGCAAAUCUCCUUUGAAGUUCCCUAAAAGCAUCUCUCCCAUUGCCUUUGUAAACACGUAUGUGUUAGGCCACCCAUACAAUUUUGCCCUGUAUUCAUAAGAAACAAGGUUUACCACUGUUUUCUUUUUACUUUUUUUUUUUAAAUUUAAGAUAUCGUCCAUACAAUUCAAGGUGAAGUGAAAAUGAUGACGGUGAGAGAGAAACCUUUUGAGGCCGAAUUCCUUCAUUUCUGAUUUUAUUACUUCGUUUGGGGCAUGUUGGAAUCGCAAUUCAUCUAAUUUUUCCUCUACAAUUCUCUUCUCUUCAAUAAUGUCUAAUUUACAUGUUUUCAACAAUGUAUCAUCCACGGAAAAUGGUUUUUCUAAUAUAAUUCCUGCUUCUUCACCGCACACGUAGGCUAAAAGAAAAUUAUGAUAAAAAGCAUGAUUGUCAAUCUUAAUUUAUCUCCGAUAUAUGUUCUGAAUGCACUAAAAUUUAACUAUGUAUAUAACAAAUAUCAACCACUAAUUAAUCAAGAACGAUCAAUUAAUUUCAUAUUUACCAGUUGAUGUGUGGAGAAACAGCUUUAUCUUAUCACAUUUCUUCGCAAAGCUCAAAACGUUAAGAGCUCCAAACGUAUUGAUGGCCAAUGCAACAUCAUAGCUUGAAAAAUAAGAGGAAAGAAGAAAAGAAAAGCGGCGAAUUAUAGGCAAAAUUAUGUUCUUAAGACAUACUCCUACAAUUCAAAUAUGAGGAUUCUAAAUUACCUUUCAUUGAAUCCUGUCGUGGCAGCAACAUGUACUACAAUUUCUAUUUCUUUCAACAUUUGUUCCCUUAAUUUUGAUUCAUUCACCCCCAAGUUUUCGGAAGAAAUAUCGCCAGGCACUGCUAUCACCUUGGUUAAUAUAAAGGAAUCAAAUUCCGAACCCCAAUUGUCUCGAAGAAUCGUAAACAAUUCUGUAUCUAUAAUCUACAUAAAAAUUAAGAUGUGUAAGUUUUUUUUUUUUGUGAAUUUGAAAUUGAAUUUUAUAUCACGUGUAACAAAUUGGAUUGAAAUAAAAAUUUUAAUUUCAAAUUUAGUAUGAAUCAUAUGAUAGAACAGUAGUAAUUACGAAUAUGACUUUCAUGAUUAUCGUAAAAUUGUCUGAAUUAUGGAACUUAAAAUUCAUUAUAUACCUCACUAUGCAGGCGUUUUGUGGCAGAUUUAGCAUCUGCAGCCUUCAAAAGAAGAUAGAGCUUAUUCACAUUUGGUUGAAUCCUUAAUAUCUUCUCGACAAAGACUGAAACCGGAGUUCAGAAUUAAAUGAUUAAGUAAAACUAAAAUGAUUAAUUAUAUUGUGUUUUAAAUGAAAUCAUCAUCCUUGGCUUCGUAAGAGAGAGAGAGAGUACUCUUUGCCAAAAAUCCAGUUGCACCAGUGACUAAAAUAGUUUUGCCUUGAAGAAACUUGACAACAUGAUCCAACUCCAUAUUCAUGUCUGAGAACCCAAAAAGAAAUCAAAUAAAAGAAGUAACUUUUUUAUAAUAUUUAUUGGAAUAAAAUUGGGUAAAAUUCAAUAUUUGAUAGAAGAAAAGAUAAGAUAAAUGUAUGCUUCCCAACAUCUAAAUUGCAAUGUUUAAUGAUAAUUUGGAAGUAUUGAAAAUAAUAGUAAUUAAAGUUGAAAAAUAAUAUAACAUGUGGCAUCACCUUGAUUUUGGAAUUUCUUUUCCCCUGUUUUUUUUUUCUCUUGUUCUUUUGCCUGUUCUUCCUCUUCGUCUUUAUGUGAGUUCUAAAAGGUAUUUAUAGGGGAGAACCAGAGCUGUCGAUGGAAGGGGAAAACCCCCAUUUUGGUGCCCUUAGGCCACAGCUUUUGUGCAGUGAAUGAGUUAUGGCAUUGAUAGAGGAGAACCAGAGCUGUUGAUGGUAGUGGAAAACCCCCAUUUUGGUGCCCUUAGGCCAAAGCUAUUGGUGGUCCUAUUUCGUGUAUCAUAUCCCAUCUUAAUUGAAUGUGAAUAUGAUUGUUAACACCUUUAUAAGACUUUAGGUUAAUCACUAUUAGUAAAUUAUGUUUAAACUUUUAAAAAUUAUGUAAUUUAGAUCCGAAAAAUUACUAGACUGGUGAUGUUUGCAUCAGGAUCAUUACACUAUGUGGUUCGGAGUAUGCAUGUUAGAUUACAGCUAACUGAGGGCAGAAGCUGGAAGCAGGAUUAACGACCUAAAUGAGGAAGGCAAAGGAGAGACGUGUCAAGGUCAAGGAUGGAUUAGUAGGAGGGAUACCUUCCAUCUCUGCUCUCCUCAAACACUUAUAUUUGCUUUAAAAUGAUAUGGAAUGUGGACAAAUAAAUAUUUUUUUAGUACAAAAAAAAAAGAAUAGAAGGUAUGUUUGAGAUUUCACUUAAUGACAAUUAAGUGAUUUGGUGUAGCAUUGCUGUAAUGAUCUACAAUAAGGGAUUGAUAAUUUCACACCUAUUGAGGAGAAAUUUAUAUGCUGGUGGAGAAAUUAUCAGUUUGAUUGCUGUUGAUGUUGGGAGGGUUGGAGAGUUUAACUGGUGUUUACAUGGUCUACGGAUGGCCCUUUUGCAAGUUGUACGGAAAUCUUGGUUUUUCCUAACUUGUGGCUUUUGCUGCAACAGUCUUGCUAAUUAAUGCUUGCAAAGCUUCCAUUAGGCAAAUUGCAAUGGAAGCUUCAGGACAAAUUGAUGGAUUCAAAAGGUAAAAAGAAUGAAGGCAACAUCUAAGGUUUUAAAGAAUAUGAGAAUUCUGAAGCUUCAGGGAUGGGAAACGAUGUUCAAUUUGAAUUCAAAAGAAGAAUUUUAAUUUCAUAUUACAAAUUAACAUGAUUUUCAUGAUUAUCAUCAAAUUGUCUGAAUCAUGUUAACGAAGUGCGGAACUUAAAAUUCAUUAUAUAUCUCAGUAUGCAAGCAUUUUGUGAGAGAUUUAAUAUCUGCAGCCCCUACAGAAGACAACUUAUUCACCAUUUGGUUGAAUCCUUAAUUAAUAUUACUCUUUGCCAAAAAUCCAGUUGCACCAGUGAUUAACAUAGUCUUGCCUGGAAGAAACUUGACAACGUUAUCCAACUCUAUAUGCAUGUAUGAGAAUCCAGAAAGAAAUCAAAUUAAAAAAAGUAAUUUAUUUAUUGUAUAUAUUGGAAUAAAAUUGGGUAAAUUUGAAUAAUUUAAUAGAGAAAAGAUCAGAUAUAUAUCCUUCCCAACACUUCACCAAGAAAUUGCAAUGUUUAAUGAUAAUUUGGAAGUAUUGAAAAUAAUAUUAAUUAGUGACUUGAAAAAUAAGAUAACAUGUGGACACCAACUUGAUUUUGGAAUUUCUUUUCCCUUGUUUUUUAUUUUCUUGUUCUUUAACCUGUUUUCCUCAUUUUGCGAAUUUGAGUUUAAGAGGUAUUUAUAGGGGAGAACCUGAGCUGUUGAUGGUUCUUGUCAAAAAUACCUCUCAUACAUAAUGUGCUUUUUUAAAAUAGCUCUCUCUAUAAUUUUAACUAUUUUUAGUCAAGAGAAAUUACUUUUGGACUAAAUUACCUUUAAUGAAACAAACCCAUAUGUUUAGGUCUGCGCCUCAAACUGACUCAUAUCCUUUGAUCUUUCCUCAUCAGACCAUUUAUCUCUGGAGUAUUUCUUACCAGAAAGAAAAACUUUUAAGCAUUUUGAGUAUUUUAGAGUGAUUUUUGAUAUACGUAGAAAACUUUUGAGCGUUUUGAGUAUUUUUAAGCAUUUGGAGUCGUUUUUGAUACAUAAAGAAAAACCUUUGAGCAUUUUAAGCAUUCUUCGACAAGUACGCAUAUUCGUUGAUUAUAUUGUUAAAUAGAAUAUGGUAUAUUAUUUGAAGUUGUUGAUUUUGUUAAAUGAAAUUCAGUAAUUUUGGUGAUUUUUAGGCCUUGGGUAACCGAUAUUUGUGCAUUGCGUGACUAGUUUUUAGGCAUUGCAUUACUAAUUUUUAGGCAUUGCAGGAUUGAUUUUUAAGUAUUAUGUGACUAGUUGAUAUGACAUUACCUAACAGAUUGAUAGACAUUGCGUGACUGGUUAGUAAGGCGUUGCAUAACUAGUUAGGAAGACCUUGUGUGACUUAGGCAUUGCCUAAAAAUCAGUCGCAUAAUACCUAAAAAUCAAUCACACAAUGCCAAAAACCAAUCACGUAAUGCCUGAAUAUUAGAGACGUAAUGAUUAAGGCAUGCAAUGCCUAAAAACUAGUCUUACAAUACCUAAAAGCUAGUAAAGCAAUACCUAAUAACUAAUUGAUUUACUUGCUCGCAGUCAGGUUUAAGUUGCCAAAGUCAUACAGUAUUCUAAUUUUUUUUUUUUAUAAUUGGGGGAGAGGGGAUUCGAACCCUGCUCUUUAAGCAAGGCGAUAAUGCACCAACCAAUGAGCCAAAUGCUCUUGAGUCAUACAAUGUUCUAAUUUAUAGAUAUAUCUAAUCAAUUUCAACCCCCUCAACUAUGGGGUUCUAUGAAUAAAUCAAUAAACCCAAUAACUUAAAACACAUACCUUGAUAUCAUCUCUGCACUUUGGGGUGGCAAGAAAGAGCUGGACGACGAGAUAGACAGUAUUUGCCAAGAGAGAGAAAUCGGGAUUUGAUUUUGAAAUUUUUGUCUGGAUGGUGACAUAAAGAAAACUGAAACCAUUUUAAUUUGUCUGAAAUUAUUUAAAGGGCAUUGUUAUCAAGUCAUGUCAAAAAUUGACUAAAAAUAGUUAAAAUUAUAAUGAAGGAUAUUUUUGAAUUACGUUUAUGAGAAGGAUUAUUUCUCAUAAUUUUCUCUAGUAGAAAACACCCCAUUUUGGUGCCCUUAGGCCACUACUUUUGAGCAAUGAAUGAAGUUAUGGCAACCGAUGGUCCUAUUUCAUGUAAUGGCCUUUCCUUUCUGAAAUUGGGUACUUCAAUCCGAACAUAAAGUUAGGUUUAGUUUCUACCAAAUUUAGGGGCAUGCUAGAGGGAAGCCCCAGCCGAAAGAAUGUGGAGGUGGAUUCCAAUGGGUUUGUUAAGCAGGUGCAGACAUUGCUAUCAGUUUGUCCAGUUUGGCUCUCAGAGUCAAAAAAGGUUGCUCUCUAACAAUCCCUAUCAAGGUCUUAGACUGAACCCCACAAGAAAUAUUUGGUCUUUAAUUACUUGGGGUAAGAAAACAAACAAAAAUUCAGACUAUGAAUUCUUUAUUUUACUUUGAAGCAAAGAUAAAAUGAUGAAGUAUCAACUACACAAAUAAAUGAAGAACUAUCAAAGCAAUAACAUCUGUUAUUGGUCACAACGAAAGUAAUGCAAGUAUUCUCCUUCUUUCCUCAUCCGUUAAGUUGUUCAAAGCUUGAUGCCCACUACUUCGUUUUUUUUUUAAGAUUUGAAGAAGGAGAUUCAAACUUUACUCUUCAAAUAGGAAGAUUAUACAUCAGCUAAUGAAUCAAAUAUUCGUGUGUGCCUUCUAUGUAAAUUUUAUUCAAUUAAUUUUAUUUUUUAAUAAUAAUUAAGAUUUAAUCCAUGUCUUAAGACGCCAGGAAUGUGAAUGUUCAUCAUGUAAUCCUUCCAAUCAAUACUCUUGGAAUCGAAGUCAAAUACACCCAUAUCAAUGCCUCUCCCUUGAGCCACCAUUCGCAACUUGUCUAAAUUUGUGUCACUAAAGCUGUAUAGGGAGAAAAGAACAUUUAAAACAAUUUAAUCAGAGAUUAAAAAAAUUAAAUUGCUAAGCCAAAUGCAAGAAUUUUGAAAUAAUUAAUAAACACAUAUACAUUCUUACUUGCCCUUAAGGAACACAUAAGGUUUGUAAAAUUCUGAGAACCACAUUGCAAACUUGAUUUUGCAAUUAAGGUCCAUGUAAACUUGCCUGAAAUACUGGCAACUAAGGAUGUUCACCAAAUGCAAUACCUUUACAAAUUAGAAACAUAAAAAUAUAUAUAUUAUAAUAAGAAAUGAGAAUUAAUUAAAUAAGAGAAGUUCUUAU